AUUGAACGCUGGCGGAAUGCUUUACACAUGCAAGUCGAACGGCAGCACGGACUUCGGUCUGGUGGCGAGUGGCGAACGGGUGAGUAAUGUAUCGGAACGUGCCCAGUCGUGGGGGAUAACGUAGUGAAAAUUACGCUAAUACCGCAUACGAUCUAUGGAUGAAAGCGGGGGAUCGCAAGACCUCGCGCGAUUGGAGCGGCCGAUAUCAGAUUAGGUAGUUGGUGGGGUAAAGGCCCACCAAGCCAACGAUCUGUAGCUGGUCUGAGAGGACGACCCGCCACUCUGGAACUGAGACACGGUCCAGACUCCUACGGGAGGCAGCAGUGGGGAAUUUUGGACAAUGGGCGAAAGCCUGAUCCAGCCAUUCCGCGUGCAGGAUGAAGGCCCUCGGGUUGUAAACUGCUUUUGUACAGAACGAAAAGGUUUCUACUAAUACUAGGAGCUCAUGACGGUACUGUAAGAAUAAGCACCGGCUAACUGCGCGCCAGCAGCCGCCGUAA
RNAcentral lists this ribosomal RNA (500 nucleotides) under uncultured bacterium. Its description in RNAcentral is "partial 16S ribosomal RNA". It matches the Rfam family "Bacterial small subunit ribosomal RNA", at positions 30 to 523 of the family's 1533-position model. The record is from RNAcentral.